This 127-nucleotide small RNA is filed under the name Marmota monax (woodchuck). Lineage: Eukaryota; Metazoa; Chordata; Mammalia; Rodentia; Sciuridae. The record is from RNAcentral.
GCUGGGCGCGGUGACACAUGCCUGUAAUCCCAGUGUCUCGGGAGGCUGAGGCAGGACGAUCACAGGUUCAAAGCCAGCCUCAGCAAUUUAGCAAGGCUGUGAACAACUCAGUGAGACUCUGCCUCUA